Molecule: ribosomal RNA, 546 nt
Filed under: Uroteuthis singhalensis
Lineage: Eukaryota; Metazoa; Mollusca; Cephalopoda; Myopsida; Loliginidae
Description: partial large subunit ribosomal RNA
Rfam family: Bacterial large subunit ribosomal RNA
Source: RNAcentral
CGGUGAAUAUUUUUAACAGCUGCGGUAUUUUAACUGUACUAAGGUAGCAUAAUAAUUUGCCUUAUAAUUUGAGGCUAGAAUGAAUGGUUUGACGAAGGUUAAUCUGUCUCCGUUUUAUUUUUUAGAAAUUAAUUUUCAUAGUGAAAAAGCUUGAAUUUUUUAAAGGGACGAGAAGACCCUAAUGAGCUUAUAAUUUUAUUAUUACUGUAUUUUUAUAUUAUUAUUGUAGUAUAUAAAUUUUAAUUGGGGUGAUUAAGGAAUAAGGUUUAUAUUAAUGUGUAACUUCCUUAGAUUUUUAAUAUUGUUAGAUUAAGUAACCGAUAUAUUGAUGCAAACAUGUAUUGUAUAUUGCUUAUAAUAUAGUUACCAUAGGGAUAACAGCGUAAUUUACUUAGAGAGUUCUUAUUGAAAGGUAAGAUUGCGACCUCGAUGUUGGAUUAAAGUAACCUUAAGGUGUAGAAGCUUUAUAAGGUAAAUCUGUUCGAUUUUUAAAACUUUACGUGAUCUGAGUUCAGACCGGACUCGCCUGUUUAUUAAAAACAUAAG